GACGUAGGGCGCGAGCGUUGUCCGGAUUUAUUGGGCGUAGAGAGCUCGUAGGCGGCUCGUUGCGUCGGCUGUGAAAACCCGCAGCUCAACUGUGGGCUUGCAGCUGAUACGGGCGGGCUGGAGUUCGGUAGGGGAGACUGGAAUUCCUGGUGUAGCGGUGAAAUGCGCAGAUAUCAGGAGGAACACCGGUGGCGAAGGCGGGUCUCUGGGCCGAUACUGACGCUGAGGAGCGAAAGCGUGGGGAGCGAACAGG
RNAcentral lists this ribosomal RNA (253 nucleotides) under uncultured bacterium. Its description in RNAcentral is "partial 16S ribosomal RNA". It matches the Rfam family "Bacterial small subunit ribosomal RNA", at positions 524 to 776 of the family's 1533-position model. The record is from RNAcentral.